This is an RNA transcript of Strongylocentrotus purpuratus (purple sea urchin), 3625 nucleotides long. It is a transcript of the gene named alanine--tRNA ligase, cytoplasmic-like, with no coding region annotated. The record is from RefSeq and is a predicted model, not a curated record. The transcript has 13 exons. Lineage: Eukaryota; Metazoa; Echinodermata; Echinoidea; Camarodonta; Strongylocentrotidae.
UCUUUCCCCCGCAGGUACUGAAGAUCAUCUGGAGUAUUAUGUUCAUGAGUGUGGAGACAUCUUAAACCAUCAGCAUGAAGCUACCGGCAGACUCAACAGACGCUAAACACAUUAUGGAGCAUGUCUUUGCACAGGUGUCGGAAUUCAAGAAACUCAACCAAGCGACUGGAGUGCGUCUAUACACAGGGAACGUUGGAGCAGAUGAUGUUGAUGGUGUAGACAUGGCUUACAGGGUAGUGGCUGAUCAUAUUCGCACAUUGACCAUAGCUCUCUUGGACGGAAGCUGGCCAGAUAAUGUUGGAAGAGGAGCGUAUGAAGCACUCAACGUCAAGCAUGAAAAUCUGUCGCUGAUUCAACCCCGAUUCGUGGUGCCCCUGCCUCCUCUUCAACCAGCGGUACUGAAGAUCAUCUGGAGUAUUAUGUUCAUGAGUGUGGAGACAUCUUAAACCAUCAGCAUGAAGCUACCGGCAGACUCAACAGACGCUAAACACAUUAUGGAGCAUGUCUUUGCACAGGUGUCGGAAUUCAAGAAACUCAACCAAGCGACUGGAGUGCGUCUAUACACAGGGAACGUUGGAGCAGAUGAUGUUGAUGGUGUAGACAUGGCUUACAGGGUAGUGGCUGAUCAUAUUCGCACAUUGACCAUAGCUCUCUUGGACGGAAGCUGGCCAGAUAAUGUUGGAAGAGGAGCGUAUGAAGCACUCAACGUCAAGCAUGAAAAUCUGUCGCUGAUUCAACCCCGAUUCGUGGUGCCCCUGCCUCCUCUUCAACCAGCGGUACUGAAGAUCAUCUGGAGUAUUAUGUUCAUGAGUGUGGAGACAUCUUAAACCAUCAGCAUGAAGCUACCGGCAGACUCAACAGACGCUAAACACAUUAUGGAGCAUGUCUUUGCACAGGUGUCGGAAUUCAAGAAACUCAACCAAGCGACUGGAGUGCGUCUAUACACAGGGAACGUUGGAGCAGAUGAUGUUGAUGGUGUAGACAUGGCUUACAGGGUAGUGGCUGAUCAUAUUCGCACAUUGACCAUAGCUCUCUUGGACGGAAGCUGGCCAGAUAAUGUUGGAAGAGGAGCGUAUGAAGCACUCACCUUCAAGCAUGAAAAUCUGUCGCUGAUUCAACCCCGAUUCGUGGUGCCCCUGCCUCCUCUUCAACCAGCGGUACUGAAGAUCAUCUGGAGUAUUAUGUUCAUGAGUGUGGAGACAUCUUAAACCAUCAGCAUGAAGCUACCGGCAGACUCAACAGACGCUAAACACAUUAUGGAGCAUGUCUUUGCACAGGUGUCGGAAUUCAAGAAACUCAACCAAGCGACUGGAGUGCGUCUAUACACAGGGAACGUUGGAGCAGAUGAUGUUGAUGGUGUAGACAUGGCUUACAGGGUAGUGGCUGAUCAUAUUCGCACAUUGACCAUAGCUCUCUAGGACGGAAGCUGGCCAGAUAAAGUUGGAAGAGGGUCAUGAAAUUGUACACAACUUUGUGAGAUAUGCAACUUUGCGUGAACAACAAGCACUCCCCCCUAAACAUAGGUAGGCUGUCCGCCGAAACUCCAGGCCUGGCAUUAGGCCUCUGCCUGGUAUGACUCUGACUGUGAAGCAGAUAGAUCUUAUAUCAAUUAGUCUACUUGUUAGAUGCCAAAAAGAAUAAUUGCAAUAAGCCAUAAGGUAAGUAGGACUACAAUUUAUUGUGUUAUUGUGCUAAUACUGAAUGCCCAUGAUAUCGCAGCUUCGGACGUCGGUACGUACAGUAUCGGCAUGUUCAAGAUUCACCCCCUUAUGGCUGUUGUUCUAGGCUUAUUUUUUGUAUUUCUCAUUUCUUGGCAUUGAUACUGCACAUACAGAAUGCAAAGACAUGCACGAUAAUAAAGAGAGCAAUUAUUGUGCAAAUACUGAAUCUCCAUGAUAUUGCAGCGUCGGUACAGCACCAGCAUGUUUAAGAUUCACCCCCCUUAUGUUUUGUAUUUCUCAUUUGUUGGCAUUGUCACUUCACAUAUCAAAUGCAAAGACAUGUACGAUAAUAAAGAUAGCUUUCCUGACCUAGUAUUUGCAAGGAAAAAUUCAAAAAAGGCAUAUGAAGGCUACGUUAAUGCGCGAAUACAGAAUGUUCAUGUUCAGCAUCCGUAUAGCAUCGACAUGUUGAAGAUCCAGCCCCCCCUUAUUUUUUGUAUGUCGCAUUUGUUGGCAUUGACAUUUACACAUGAAAUGUAAAGACAUAAAACAGCCGUCCUGACCUAGCAUAUACAAGGAAAAAUUCAAAAAAGGUCUCUGAUUGCUGCGUUAUGGUGCAUAAAAGUUGUCAGCGUCACUAAACAUAGGACAUUUUCUAAUCCCCCCCCCCUCUUCCCCCUUAUUGUGCUCCAAUUCUUUGUUCUACCCAAUUUGAUGUUUCUAGUGGUCAAUUCAUUAGAAAUGAGUGGAGCCUAAGCCUACUACUUAGGCCAAAGCUAAGUAGGCCUAGCAGAAACUCACGCCGUUCCGAUUGAGUACAUAUAACGGAGUGACACCUGAAAUCAGAGUAAUCACGUGAUCGGAAUAUUUUACCUCGCCACCAAAAUCCCAGGUGGACCUAGCAGUCCCACAUUACUUUGCGGUGCCUUAGGCAUGAUCGAUGCAAACUUAUUCACAACCUUUUAACCCACUAAAUCGGAGCAGUGUAUUUAUCCGGAUAAUACGCGUAGAUAGACACUGCCCAUUCCCUGGUACUAUAUGCUAUUUUCCGGAAAACAAAUGAACCGGAUAAUUUCAGUAAAACUAAUAGAAACAUGCUGUUUGUGUUCCUUCUUUCUAUCACAAUCUCUUUCUUUCAUCGUGUCUUCAUUUCCUUCUCAAUUGUCAUUGUCCCUUAUAUUACAUUCUCUAUCUCAAAUGUCACUUUUCCUCAUAUUGUUUUCCUCAGAAAAUUCAUGCAAAGGACCUGGAAAAUCUGCAGAAAUAAACCCUAGGACUACUUUGACCAACGGAGGUUGGUGGUUUGGCAGUUGAAGGCUUAAGAAACUUGCUGACCAUCCUGGGUACAACCCCAACAGUCAAUGCCUCUAGCUACGACAGGCACAUAGCCACUUUUAAAUCGAUAUCUCAAGAGACCAGCGAGGAACACAUGAAGAGGGCGGCGGUAUGCCUACAACAAAGGGCAAUGGACAAGGACCCGACCAUCAGGAAAAAUGACCGUGUGGACAUCACUUCUACUACCAACCUAUCCAUUCUUCUUUACUACUUCUACUACCUCCACUACCACCCUAUCCGUUCUCCCUUGCUCCCCUCCCUCUUUCAUUCUCGCCAGAUCUGGCAAUCAUUAAAUAUCUUAAUAUUUCUUACCCCUCCCUCAUCUGUCUUUCUUUUCUCCCUCCUGAAUGGACAAUGCUCUUCCUUACUUUUAUUACUACCUCUGCUACCACCUUACUCUACAACCUUACCUCUGCUCUUCCUUACUACUUCUACUUCCACUUUCCCUCAUCAUGUUCCCUCUUUCUAUAACCAUCUCCACGUUCUCUGUCUUUAUUAUCACCCCCCCCCCCUUUUUUUAUUGCAUUCUCUAUCUCAACUGCCACUUUCCAUCAUAUUGGUUUCACUCACUAUCUCAAUUUCAACUUUCCCUGUGUUUUUGUUCUCUCUCUCUCUCUCUCUCAAGUGCA